Long non-coding RNA from Syngnathoides biaculeatus (alligator pipefish), 597 nucleotides. RefSeq lists it as uncharacterized. NCBI's taxonomy places the organism in Eukaryota, Metazoa, Chordata, Actinopteri, Syngnathiformes, Syngnathidae. The transcript has 3 exons. The record is from RefSeq and is a predicted model, not a curated record.
GUCACUUUAAUAUUCCCAUCCCCGCACGGGACAACCACCCGGGUCCGACCGAAACACACGGUCACCUUCAUGUCCCCGCGUUAAUUCCAAAGAGGAAAAAGACGACGCAUCAAAGGGGCACAAACCAUCUCUGGGUGUUGACUUUACUUCAGAGAAACUUCGCAACCGAGCGGCUUCUCAGCGGGGAGCUCACAGCUGACAUGACGCUGCGAGGGUCGCCCACAUGUUGGAGCAGGCACCAGGAAUGUCUCCUGUGCAAAAGCACGCUGCACUUAACCCUUUAAAACCGGUACAUGUUUGUAUUUUAGAUUUGCUUGGGCAGGCUACCAAGAGUCAACAGUUUGCGCGGGUGGUGGACUCAGGGUCAUGGGAAGCCGCAGUACAUCCCUGGUGACUUCAGGCAAGAAGCGGAGUCUAUCUUGGACUGGUCACCUGAUCAUCACAACUGGGCAACUAUAAGGACUGAUGAGCAUUUAAUCUCACAAAACACAAAUUUGCAUACUAUCAUUUCAAAUUAUGAAGCUGUCAUGAUGGAAAGUUUAAACACAUUUUGAACACAAGUCAAACGACAUAGAUGAAUAAAAACAACCAGCAGUC